CGGACAACGCUGGCGGCGUGCUUAACACAUGCAAGUUGAACGGGGCAUAUUUGAAGGGUAACCGGAGGGUAUGUCUAGUGGCGAACGGGUGAGUAAUGCAUGAGAACGUAUCCUCAAGAGGGGGACAACAUUGGGAAACCGAUGCUAAUACCCCAUAAGCCGGGAGGUAAAAGGAGCAAUCCGCUUGAGGAGCGGUUCAUGUCCUAUCAGCUGGUUGGUGAGGUAACGGCUCACCAAGGCGAAGACGGGUAGCCGGCCUGAGAGGGUGAACGGCCACACUGGAACUGAGAGACGGUCCAGACUCCUACGGGAGGCAGCAGUGGGGAAUAUUGGGCAAUGGGCGCAAGCCUGAACCAGCCAUCCCGCGUGAGUGAAGAAGGCCUUCGGGUUGUAAAGCUCUUUCGGCCGGGAAAAAAUCGCAUCAGUUAAUACCUGGUGUGGAUGAUGGUACCGGAAUAAGAAGCACCGGCUAACUACGUG
Molecule: ribosomal RNA, 480 nt
Filed under: uncultured bacterium
Lineage: Bacteria
Description: bacterial SSU rRNA
Rfam family: Bacterial small subunit ribosomal RNA
Source: RNAcentral